Long non-coding RNA from Schistocerca cancellata (South American locust), 1387 nucleotides. RefSeq lists it as uncharacterized. The record is from RefSeq and is a predicted model, not a curated record. NCBI's taxonomy places the organism in Eukaryota, Metazoa, Arthropoda, Insecta, Orthoptera, Acrididae. The transcript has 2 exons.
UUGAUUUUCCAUUAGAGAGAAGACUAAAAAGAUUUGGGAACGAUAUGAAGAUAUUAUGAUGAGGUACAUCGCAAUGACUGAUGAAGUCGUAGCUUUGAAAAGUGAGACUGGUGUUACGGAAAGAAUGAGAUUGCGUGCAGAGGAGGAAAUAGUUAAACUUAAACGGGAGAUUGAGAAGAAAGGUGAAGGUGACCAUAAAGAGGAGGAUCUGAUUCCAGUUGUUGAAAAUUCACUUCCACAAGAAAUUCAAAACAAAAAGAAGUGCCGAUUUGCUCCAGAAACAAUUGAACCCUCUUCGAAAAAACUUGUUGCCAAAAAAGAAAUUAACAAAAUCCCUUACUUGACUUCUAGCUAGUGUGUGUGUGUGUGUGUGUGUGUGUGUGUGUGUGUGUGUGUGUGUGUGUGUGACCUUUUAGUAUUUCUAGAAUUUAUACAUAAAGUUUUUGAAUAUUUCUCCUUGGUUGCCAUUAUCAUGGAAGCCUGGUUCAUUAUAAGACACUUUCUCUGGCUUUUCAUUUAAUUUCUACUUCUGAGAAUGCUUCGUGUAUGCAAAAUAACUGGAGUUGUUCUUUGACUUUAUACCCAUGACAAAAUCCAGGUCCCUGCCUUUUAGCUUGUGAACUAAUAUCAUGUGUUGUGUGGUGAAUUAAUGCACUGAGUUUAGACUGGAAUGCCUAUAAUUCGGUGCAUGUGGUACGGACGGACAGUAUUGGGAAGGAGUUUUGUCACAUUUUCUGAAAAGUGUCUGGAGCAGCUAGUUCAAAGACUCACGUGCCAUGAAAAUAUUUAAGACCUUGUAGGUAUGAACAGGUUGACCUUACGAAUAGUGACAGAAAGACAUUGAUUAGUGAUCCUUAUGUCAUCAGAGUGAGAGUGAUUACUAAGGUUAAUAAAUCCAUCAAGAAAGCUAGUGGGAAAUGUUCUUAUGCUAUAAAGAGCCGCUACGCAAUUGUUAGCAUCCUACUUAAACAGUGAAUGGGCAUUAUUUAGUUAAGAUAUAACAGAAAAUGUAUGGAUUAUAGGCAAAGUUGAAACUGACUGUAAAUCAUGUUGUGGAGAAGUAUGUGCCGAGUUACUGGAUUAUAAGGCUGGAACGCACUGUGGUUAGUAGCAGAGUUUGAUGUACUUUUGGUUAGAAUACGAAUGUGAAAAUGUCAGCAAGCAAGAAUUAUUAGUAAUUUUUGCAUCUGUAAAAAGACUGAUGAUGUGCAGUGUUCAAAAACUUCAGAACAACUUGCCUAUCGACUCGAUGUGUGAUCGAUGUUCACACUGAAUAAUUGUAAGAAAAAGUGUUUGUGGUCCUCUUUCAUUUGGUGUAUUAUUUAUAACUGUAAGGUGAGUGUAAUGUGUGCUACAAAGCCUUAAAACCCUUAUAUUCAUUUUUAAA